AAAUUGAAGAGUUUGAUCAUGGCUCAGAUUGAACGCUGGCGGCAGGCCUAACACAUGCAAGUCGAACGGUAACAGGAAGAAGCUUGCUUCUUUGCUGACGAGUGGCGGACGGGUGAGUAAUGUCUGGGAAACUGCCUGAUGGAGGGGGAUAACUACUGGAAACGGUAGCUAAUACCGCAUAACGUCGCAAGACCAAAGAGGGGGACCUUCGGGCCUCUUGCCAUCGGAUGUGCCCAGAUGGGAUUAGCUAGUAGGUGGGGUAACGGCUCACCUAGGCGACGAUCCCUAGCUGGUCUGAGAGGAUGACCAGCCACACUGGAACUGAGACACGGUCCAGACUCCUACGGGAGGCAGCAGUGGGGAAUAUUGCACAAUGGGCGCAAGC
This 385-nucleotide ribosomal RNA is filed under the name Escherichia coli. RNAcentral's name for it is "bacterial SSU rRNA". It matches the Rfam family "Bacterial small subunit ribosomal RNA", at positions 1 to 382 of the family's 1533-position model. The record is from RNAcentral. RNAcentral also lists the same sequence under 1 other name. Lineage: Bacteria; Pseudomonadati; Pseudomonadota; Gammaproteobacteria; Enterobacterales; Enterobacteriaceae.